Molecule: ribosomal RNA, 600 nt
Filed under: uncultured bacterium CE50
Lineage: Bacteria
Description: bacterial SSU rRNA
Rfam family: Bacterial small subunit ribosomal RNA
Source: RNAcentral
GCGUUGUUCGGAUUCACUGGGUAUAAAGGGUGCGCAGGCGGCCUGAUAAGUCAGGGGUGAAAUAUGACGGCUCAACCGUCAAACUGCCCCUGAAACUGCCAGGCUUGAGUCCGGGAGAGGUAGGUGGAAUUCCAGGUGUAGCGGUGAAAUGCGUAAAUAUCUGGAGGAACACCGGUGGCGAAGGCGGCCUACUGGCCCGGAACUGACGCUCAGGCACGAAAGCUAGGGGAGCGAACGGGAUUAGAUACCCCGGUAGUCCUAGCCGUAAACGAUGGGCACUAGGUGUUGGAGGAGUCUACCCCUUCAGUGCCGCAGCUAACGCAUUAAGUGCCCCACCUGGGGAGUACGAUCGCAAGGUUGAAACUCAAAGGAAUUGACGGGGGCCCGCACAAGCGGUGGAGCAUGUGGUUUAAUUCGAUGCAACGCGAAGAACCUUACCUGGACUUGACAUGCAGGGGACAGGUGUAGAAAUACACCCUUCUUCGGACCCUUGUACAGGUGCUGCAUGGCUGUCGUCAGCUCGUGUCGUGAAAUGUUGGGUUAAGUCCCGCAACGAGCGCAACCCCUGUUUCAAGUUGCCAUCAAGGUUAUGCUUGGGGA